UACGAAGGGGGCUAGCGUUGCUCGGAAUCACUGGGCGUAAAGCGCACGUAGGCGGCUUUUUUAAGUCAGGGGGUGAAAUCCUGGAGCUCAACUCCAGAACUGCCUUUGAUACUGAGAGGCUCGAGUCCGGGAGAGGUGAGUGGAACUGCGAGUGUAGAGGUGAAAUUCGUAGAUAUUCGCAAGAACACCAGUGGCGAAGGCGGCUCACUGGCCCGGUACUGACGCUGAGGUGCGAAAGCGUGGGGAGCAAACAGGG
RNAcentral lists this ribosomal RNA (256 nucleotides) under uncultured bacterium. RNAcentral describes it as "partial 16S ribosomal RNA". It matches the Rfam family "Bacterial small subunit ribosomal RNA", at positions 524 to 777 of the family's 1533-position model. The record is from RNAcentral.